AUGGGUUAUUUAAAUUCUACAUACAUUUUAAAACACGAAGUCCAUUGAGCUAAAUAAUUUAAUAAUAUUAGAUACUAUAUUAAUUAGUGUAACAAUACUAAAAAUUAGAAAAAUAUUUAGGGGUGACAGGCCUUUCAAAAUUGACGAUAUCUUGAUGGUAGAGAAAAAUAUAUAGUAUACUUACAAACUAAAAAUGUUAAGGUUUUUAGUAAGCAUAAUUUUUUUUUGGUGUAUAGUUGAAUACUUAAUAGUUACAACUUUGUAUACUUUAAUAUUUAUUAAAAUAAUAUAUGUUAAAUACUUACCAGUUAAUACUAAUUAUAUUUUAAAUUUAUUAUGAUAGUAUUAGUAUUAUACUAAAUUUGAUUAAUGAACUCGGCAAUAAUACUCCUCGACUGUUUACCAAAAACAUUGCCCUAAGUUAUUAUUUAAGGUUAAACCUGCUCAAUGAAUUAAUUAAAUAGCCGCAGUACAUUGACUGUGCAAAGGUAGCAUAAUCAAUUGGCUUAUAAUUGAAGUCUAGUAUGAAUGGGAAUCCGGGGAAUAGCUCUAUCAAAUAAAAUUAUAUAACUUACUUAAUGAGUGAAAAGUCUUAUAGAAAGAGGAAAGACGAGAAGACCCUAGAAAUUUUGUAUAUAAUUUCUAUAUAUUUAUUUUGUUGGGGCGACAUAGUAACAAUUAACCUACUAUAUAUAUAAGCUGCUAAUAAGUUGAGAGAAUAAAUUACUCUAGGGAUAACAGCAUUAUUCAAAAUGAGUUUGUGACCUCGAUGUUGGACUAGGAAAUAAUUUCUUUAAAAGAUAAAUUAUAUAGGCUCUGUUCGAGCUCUUUAUCCUACAUGAUCUG
Molecule: ribosomal RNA, 846 nt
Filed under: Trochulus hispidus
Lineage: Eukaryota; Metazoa; Mollusca; Gastropoda; Stylommatophora; Hygromiidae
Description: partial 16S ribosomal RNA
Source: RNAcentral